RNAcentral lists this ribosomal RNA (510 nucleotides) under Streptomyces sp. 306B07. RNAcentral's name for it is "bacterial SSU rRNA". It matches the Rfam family "Bacterial small subunit ribosomal RNA", at positions 93 to 617 of the family's 1533-position model. The record is from RNAcentral. Lineage: Bacteria; Bacillati; Actinomycetota; Actinomycetes; Kitasatosporales; Streptomycetaceae.
UAGUGGCGAACGGGUGAGUAACACGUGGGCAAUCUGCCCUUCACUCUGGGACAAGCCCUGGAAACGGGGUCUAAUACCGGAUAACACUCCUCAGGGCAUCUUGAGGGGUUAAAAGCUCCGGCGGUGAAGGAUGAGCCCGCGGCCUAUCAGCUUGUUGGUGGGGUGAUGGCCUACCAAGGCGACGACGGGUAGCCGGCCUGAGAGGGCGACCGGCCACACUGGGACUGAGACACGGCCCAGACUCCUACGGGAGGCAGCAGUGGGGAAUAUUGCACAAUGGGCGAAAGCCUGAUGCAGCGACGCCGCGUGAGGGAUGACGGCCUUCGGGUUGUAAACCUCUUUCAGCAGGGAAGAAGCGAAAGUGACGGUACCUGCAGAAGAAGCGCCGGCUAACUACGUGCCAGCAGCCGCGGUAAUACGUAGGGCGCAAGCGUUGUCCGGAAUUAUUGGGCGUAAAGAGCUCGUAGGCGGCUUGUCACGUCGGAUGUGAAAGCCCGGGGCUUAACCCCG